This 122-nucleotide ribosomal RNA is filed under the name Bacilli bacterium. RNAcentral's name for it is "partial 23S ribosomal RNA". It matches the Rfam family "Bacterial large subunit ribosomal RNA", at positions 2808 to 2925 of the family's 2925-position model. Lineage: Bacteria; Bacillati; Bacillota; Bacilli. The record is from RNAcentral.
GACUUCCCAUCAUUUUAAAUGAGUAAGAUCCCUCAGAGACGAUGAGGUUAAUAGGUUUGAGGUGGAAGCGUGGCGACACGUGGAGCUGACAAAUACUAAUCGAUCGAGGACUUAACUAAAUU